Non-coding RNA from Picea glauca (white spruce), 76 nucleotides. Lineage: Eukaryota; Viridiplantae; Streptophyta; Pinopsida; Pinales; Pinaceae. The record is from Rfam.
UUGAGCUGUAUGAGGUAGGAAACUCUCAAGUACGGUUUUGAGGGAAGAAAUUUUUUUCAAGUUGACCUAUCCCUAC